CCAAUGCUCACAUUAGUCCCGGUUCGUGACUGAACCGGGACUAAUGUUAAUAUUGCCCUGUGACCAAAGCCCUGUUUUCUACUAGUGACCUUUGCUUCUGUAGUUUCGCCGAACUGAACUUCUCUAAAUAACACCAACCAGAGUUUAUUCUUAGAUGUUUUUUUGUAAUUUAAAAUUGCUCAGAUUUAUUAAUCCACCAUUUCAAUGCUGUUUAUAGAGGCAAAAUGAUUGUAUUUAUAUGACUGGUUAAUAGAAAAUCUAGACAGUUAUGUCAGACCUUUAUCUUGACAUUUGCCUUUCAUAAAUCUACUAAACCUUUUUUUUACUUGAUCUUCUGUGCAGCUAUGGUUAUUGGGCCUCAAUAAUCUGAAUUCCUAAGUAAUUAUAACAACAAAAGUUUUAUUUUCUUAGGUAUACCAUUGUUGUUUUGCUGAAUGAAUAACAAGGUAGUCCAGUAGAAUUGUAACUUGUGAGCCCUGCAAAUAGUCCCUACAGAGUAGGUUUAUAGAAGGUUUGUUGAAAGAUUUAUUGUGGGUUGUGUUACUUGCCAAACAAGUGUUAUGCUCAAGUCAGACCCUUUGGUGGCUUCCCUUGUUAAAUGAUGUGCAAAGAAUUUUAUUGCUUAGUGUAAUUAAUAAGUGCUUGGAUUAUUUUGCAGUGAAAAUGUUUGUGAUUUUCCCUCUUCCUUCUCUUGUUAGAUCAUAUCACCUUAACUAUACAAAGUAAUUUGUGAAGAUAUAUGUUCCUUAAUUUGAUUGCAGCGACCAUAAUAAAAUAAUUGUAGAAACCUGUAGUGUAUUGGUCUCUUUUCUCCUAAUUGUCUAUAUAUUCUACAUCUGGUAGAUCAAGGAUCUCUCGUCAUUUGAUUUUCUUAGGGUUGCUUCGUGCUAUUUCUCUACACCUAGGUUGGGGAAUUUUGUUUCUAAUGCUCCUGAAAACUAAGAAUUUGGUACAAAAUGAAACCAUUCUGCAUUUGGAUCUGCGCUAUAGAUAAUUGGUUUAUUGAAAUUCCUCUAGGUCAUUAACAGUGGUGGUAUUUGUCCUUAUCGGAACCAUUGUUUUGAUUUCAUGGCCUCUUGUAUCUAUGUGUCCCUCUUGUAUGUAUUUUUAUUUUCUAAUCUGCGUUUAAGAAAAGAACUGUAUUUGUUUUUUUAUAAAAUCAGGUCAAAUUACUCCACUUUGAAUUAAAGUUCCAACCAUACAUACUUAUUUUGUCUGCAGAAGAUAGAUAUUUAUUACCACCAUAGAUGCAUGUGAAUACGCCUUAAGAUCUCAACAGAAGUAAGGUUAAAUGAUUACCUAUCUUGUGAUCUUCUGUUAUGAGAACAGCGGUAUCUCUGUCCACUGUGCACGUUUCUCCCAAACUAUUGAGUUAGUUUAUUCAAAUGACAGAGCGCACAGGUUCCUUCGGGUAUCUAAAUAGAUUUGGGAAGCUUUUGUUCUGAAAAAGUCUGCCUGAUUAAACAAACUCUAGAGGCUAAUGGAUUCAAACACGGAAAUAAACAGACAAUUUCACAGACCGUACAUCGCAGGCCAAUCGAAACAGAGAGAGCCAGAGAGAGAGAGGGAGGGACAGAGGGAGAGAGGUUUAUUCACACACUGUCAAUCCAAUUUUUUUGUAAUUAUUGUUAUGUGCAUAUAUUUUAUUUCUUCUUUGGUUUAGGGAACAUAGAAAUGCAGGAGCUAUUAGCCAUGCUCAUGUUAAUUUCUGUUAUGAACAUGACAGUUGAAUUCGAUAGGGUUAAAUUUGUUCCCCCAAGGUGGUGCGGGUUUCGGGGUUUCAAGGGCGUGAAAUGGCAUGGAAGACAGAGAUGGCAGCAGCCUGCAUCCUCGAAUUGGAGUUGCCUCUUGGGGAGUAGCAGGUUGCUGAAAUGACGACCAGGGUGGAUGCCCAAAGUUACAGAAAUAUCUACCUGGGAGGAGGCGCCGAAAUUUAGAGGCACACGGGAGAUGCUAGAGGAUGAUAAGAAAGAUGAGGAGAAAGCUUAGGUUUAGUUCUUUAAUAAUUUUUGUUCUUUUUUUAGAGUUCCUGAGAAUUAGUUGCAGACAAUGUUGUGAUGCUCCAAUAGUAUAGUGCAAUAUCCUACGAUGACAACUAUAAAUGUCACACUCUAUUUGUUAGGAUAUUCUAUUCAUGCUAUAUUCAUUGUUAGUUUUGUCUUCAUCCUACUAUUUAUGGAUAUUUCCUUUAUCGCCUCCACUGGACAUGAGUAACCCGUGGCAUUUUCCAUGCUUUUCUUCUAUAUAGUGGAGGUUUCUUUCAUCAGAGCAAACUGGUUCCACAGAGGUUUCAUUAGAGCUAACUUUGUGUUUUAUCAUCUUGGAACCGUUACUAUUUGCUUAGAGGAAAGACGAAGCAACAUCUACUUUUAAUUGGAAUAAUUAUGCAAGAAGACAUUCAAUUUACUAUAUCACAUAAUCAUUUUUUCUGUGUUAAGUAAUAAGUAUAAACCACAACUUGUGCAGAAAACACAAACUUUAACAAAGGGUACCGAGCAAUUAAGGGUGCCCCAUCAGGCAUUUUUUCACUUAAGAUGGAACAGAAUAACUGUCAUGGUGUUCUGUUCAUAUUUGAACUUUACUAAAGAUAUGUUACAAUUCAUGCCUGCGGUUCAAUAUCUACUACCUGAAAUCCGCUUUCUACCUUGGUUAUCGAGUACACAUAUAAAGUGUGCUUUUAAUGCUAUAUUAAAUUCAUGCCUGUAGUCCAAUAUCAAUUGCCUGAAUUCUGCUUUCUACCCAUGGUUAUUAAGUACAUACACAUGCUUUAUUGUUUAUUAGAUUCUGGACUGUAGGUCUGCUACUUAAUGAUGCACCCCCUGCUGAUAAGAAAAUUUAUUCGGUCUGAUAAGAUAAUAUACUGAACAGAUGAAUGGCAGGAUCAGUAAGCUUUCUUCUUGAUUAUGGUUUCUUCUGCAUUCUCAAUGUUUCAUAUAUCUACCUGGGAAUUUUGUUUUGUUAGUUUUUAUAGUAUCAUUGGUAGAGAGGAUGUCUUUCCGAAUAUAGUUUUAAAUUCUGGAUAUUUUUUCAUACAAGAAUUCCAAAUAUAGUAAUGGUCCUUGCUGGGAACAAUGCUGUCAUAUAAGGGGAAACUUUAGAAGUUCAACGACCAUAAUUUAAAUCAUAUGCAGCUUGUUUUCUUCCUUGUUGUUUUAUUGCAUUAAAGAUAUUUAGAAUUUUGACUGUCUAAAAAUGCAGAGCAUAUAUUGUGCGGCUUUAGCUCCCCAUUCUGUUUUUCUCCCAGAGAAUGGUUUAUGUCUAAAUUGGUGCCAUUUGCAGGCUUUAUUUUGCACGAGUUUGUUCUGGAUGUAGUUUUCUAGGCGUAUUGAUCAUCUCCCAUGCUUUAACCGAACGAGUUAGUCGUAUAUGUCUAAUAAUCGUUUUCACACACAUCUGGUCAAUAGAAUUAAGCGAACCAUCUUUGUAUUCUAUAGUGAUUUUGGGAGGAGCCACAUGUGGAGAAGUUGGCCGCAAGGAUCAACACUUGCAAUGACCUUAAAAAUACAUAUGAAGUUUUCAAUUUAGUAAUUUACACCACAUGACUGUCAUUCACUUGCAGGCCUGAUGUGGUGUGAUCUUGUUGAUUCAUAUGGCAGAUUGUUACGGGAUCAGAGGACUUAGCUGAAAGCAGGCUUGAGACUGCUGAAAAAGUGUUGGUGUGAUUCAGUGAUCCCAAUAUGGCACUUGUGUGUACCAUGGCUUCAUUGCAUAUUGACUUUAACAAAUAUAUGAAAGAGAGCUGUUUCUAACCUGCUACGCAACAAGGAUUGCAACGCUUUGCGGUCUCCUAGGCUGUUGAGGGGAAUGGAGGAAACUGAAGGCGCUAACAACUCCUGUUUGAAGGUCAUCACGGACUAUAUCCUGGAAACUGAAAAUUUGUUGGAAAAGAUCUAUUAUGAUGCUAUAGAAGUUCCAGAUAAGGAUCUUCUCCCCUUCUGCGUUGGGUCUGAAAGCAAGGGCAUGUACUAUAAAAUGUAUGAAAUAUAUUAUUUUCUCUUCUACGUUUGUUGAAUGAAUUGCUACGAAGUUUAUGUUGACAUAUUUGUUUGUUCUUUUCUUUUUAAGAAUCAGUUAUUUUUGUAAGCACCACUGAGCCUACCUUGCAGACCAUCUUGGUGUUUUUAGCAACAACAGUGAACAUGUUUGUCCUCUUUUUCAACUUCUUUUCAACAAUCAAUAGCACAAAUAGAUAUGCUUUUACCUAUAUAACCUCUGUUGUUGUUCCUCAUCGAUCUAUUAAUGAUGCCACCCUUAUCUAUAAUUAUCUGUUUUUACUACUUUCUCUAUUUCAAACAUCAAGUACUCACCAACAACAACAAAUAUGCUAAGCAAGGAAGAGGCAUGCCCUACCUGGCCGCGUCCACCUUCCACUCAAGGAAUAUAGCAUUAUCAUUCAAGGAGAAACAGUA
Long non-coding RNA from Aegilops tauschii subsp. strangulata, 4409 nucleotides. RefSeq lists it as uncharacterized. NCBI's taxonomy places the organism in Eukaryota, Viridiplantae, Streptophyta, Magnoliopsida, Poales, Poaceae. The record is from RefSeq and is a predicted model, not a curated record.